CCCGAAGCGGCUAUUACGUUGAAUCGAUUAAACGAGCGUCGAAAAUGAAAUACACUUUCACGUCACACUUUCCGGCAAUAUCUAACAUCCGAAGCUUUUUCUCAUCGUGCAACCUCUACGGUUCUGAUCGUUCGAGAUCGUUCGAGACUGCUCAGGAUUCCCGGUCGCGUCCCACCGAUUUUUAUCGAAUCUCGCCAGUGUCGUAUAAAUAUUUCGAUCCUCUUACAGGUCAUGGUGCACCGUGAAGUCGAUUCGCAGCGUCGACGUCGAGAAACGACGCUGGUUGAAGUGCAUGCCUGGGCAAGCGGCCGCGACGUUUAAUAAAAUCGAAGGCACACCGCGAUGUAAACAGACGAGCCAGGGGGAGAGGGAGGCAGAGAAAGAAAGAGAGAGACAGUUGACAGUUCGCGUAUUUAAGAGAAAUGAGGUAACGUUUCAUCGGAGACCUUGACCGCGCGCGAAAAAGGGGUUGAGUCGCAGAACCGUCGCGAUCCGAUACAUCGAGCACGUCUCGUGGGAUACCCCGUAGGAAGGGUUCAGAGGGUCAUCGUAAACACAGGUUCACGAUCGGUGAUGAGCAGGCGCCUUCGAACGAACGGCGCCGGGAAAAACGCGUAGAGAUGGUGUGCGUGUGUUUUGGACAGUGUGCGUUGCUUACUGGGGACAGCUCGUCGAGGGACGAUCAAUCUCGAGCUUCUCCAAACUCGCCGGCAGCACCUCGUCGGCCAUGCUCACGGUUUUGCACGUUCCGGUGCUGAGUGACCGUUGGCAAACAAACGUUGACAGCGCGUCGGAAAAUUUCAGAACAACGGCCAGAACGUCCCGGGGAGAAAAUAGGUUAGAACGAGAAUGACGACAGCCAGCGAGAUCGCCGAGCGUCGACAUUCACCACAUUUCCACCGUUUCGGUACCGCAGUUUUGUCCACAAUCUGGUCACGCGUGCACCAUAGCCGAAACCUCGCUGUUACGACACUCGCUCAGCAGAUAUCGCUCGUGGACGCGGGUCUCGCGAUCAAUUAAUCAUCGACAGCACGUAAAUAAACAGACUUUUGCGCGCAACUGCCAUUCUACUGCUGCUCGAUACCGGAAGCAACGGUCUCAGAUGGCGCCACGCGAGCCGUCUUUAUCCCGCGCGCACACCGGACGCCAUUUAAAUGCUCCGAUGAUACCUCCUAACUGCCGGCGAAAUGACAACGACAGAAAUUUGUUGAUUCGCUGCCCGUGGAAUUGAUUUCGUCGUUAAAACUGCAUCGGAUUUUUGUAUACGAAGGACGGAGUUAGCAACAUAUAGUGGGGCUUCCGGACUUACGUCCUAAUUGGUUCUGGAAUGAGCGAUGCAAGUUCGGAAGGACGUCGUCUUCUGACAAUUGCAGGCGAGGAUGCGGCAGCUGGCGGUUCUGAAUGAAGACAUCAUAGACCAUAGUCGACAACGUAGAAGAAAGUUAGGUUCAUCGCGGCGGAAUGGAAUGGAGGAGUCGAACGCGCCCCUAGAAGCUUCUGCCUCGGUCAAAAAUAGACGUGGAAUGACACGGGGAAGCGGAUACCGUAAUAUUUUAGUGUCACCGAAAUAAAACUGGGAGCCAUCUGGCCAAUUAUACGAAUGCAUAAAUCCGCGCUGAAUGCCGGGGGCGGGGGAAAACAAACUAGCCGCGUUUCGUCCCGGUUUACGACUUCCGAUCGAUCGGGCCAUCCGCCUAGGGGAUCGGUGACAUUUUGGAAUGCCUAACGGGAUUCCACGGGGCUUAAGGAAGUUAGGAUCGCUGGUAAGCCUGAGUGAUAGAAAUCGGGAUACCUUAAAAGUAGGUAGACGAGACCAAAUCCGUCCAGGAUGCCUGGUUUUGGCGGUCGGUGGCUUUUACCGUUUGCCUGCCGUUUAUCUUGCGUGCAAUAGGUGCGCACCGUUUAUAGAACCUGCAAUAUUGGAUUCUGUAUCCGUUGGAUGAGUUCUGGCAGUGUCUUUAUGGUUUGUAUGUAAUACAGAUUAUCUGUGGAAUGUUUGCUUAAUUAGAUAUCUUUCUGGUGCCAUUUUUGUAACUCUAAUGUUGGGAAUAAAGAAAUUGUAUUAUAGAUUGGGUUCUGUAUCGUUGGAUUAACGAGUUGUUUGUUUAGUGAAAGUAAUUGUUAAUUUAUUCAUUUUCGUAGGAUAUAUGUGGUAGAUUGGAUUCCAUUUUGGUGAUACUUUCAGGAAGGUAAAAUACAAUUUUACAUCAAACUUGACCAUUUGGUAACACUUUUAGGAAGGUAAGAUACAGUUUUACAUUGACGAGGUAUUUUAGAUUAAUUACUAUAUGAAAUACUAUGUAGGUAUAGUGUAUAUCCAUAAACUAUAACAGUUAAAUACUAUACAGAGAUAGACAAUAUUCGUAUAAAGCAGUUUAUACUUGCAAGAUUUUCAAGCACCACGUGUUCAAGAAAUAAGACUCGAUCAAGUGUUUGUUAUUUUGUUCCCUAAUUCUUCGAAGCAUUCACGAAACACAAGAUUCCUUUAAUGUUUCCUCGGUUACCCACAAGAUUGCUCUACUAUUUUGGCGAAUAUCACAACGCGCCACGGUUAUUUCUCCAAACAGCUUGUUCCUGCCAGACUCAACAGAGUUCCAAAAUUCACGGAGCAAGGGAUGAUCAAAGGCUUCCCGAUCGAUCUCUGUACUAUUUGUGACGAAACUCAGCAUCACGACCUGUCGGUCGAUCUGUUGCUCGAUUCGCGAUAAGCCCCUACUAUUUAUUCGAAGCCGAAACGCGUUUGAUCUACUUCGCUCAACUACUUCUGAUCGUACUUCAGGCUUGAAGAGGCUCAAGACGAUACGCCCGACGUCUGCAAAUAAAUCAGAUACGUUAACGAGGCCCCCGGCUCUGCCUUGGAUCCUGCCGUUCCCGAGAUCUUUUUUAAAACUUCGCCGAACGUCACGUGCUCGGCAAACUUUGAAGCGGCUUUUACGUAACAAUUUUAUUUAUUUUCAUUAACGCUCACAUUUAUCGAUGUGUUUCUUUUUCCGUUGUUUUUCGAGGUAAAGGGAUUGGUUACUAACUUGUACAAUAUUCCAUCGUGUGCUCGAUAUUUUUCGCCGUGUAAACUCCAUUUGUAACCCUUUGCACGGCGAGUUACUUUUAUAGUUUACUUUCGAUAAUUUUGUAUUAUCGUAAGUGUUUCAUUUGAAGUGUACUUUGAAAGAUGGUUACUUAAUGGUAUACAGUGUAAAAAAUUCUUUUUAGAAAUAACAUUGGACAUAGUAUAAUAACAUAAUAAUAGAACAAUGACUAGUUCAAGUUUCCUUAUUUCGCGAUGAUUCACAUCUUAAAAGCAUUAAAUAUUCGAAAUGGUUUGAAAAAUAAAUAGUUUUACUACAAUGCUAUAUAUUAAUAUAUGAAAAAGCCGAAGACAAAUCUAUUACAAUUCGUAUAAGGACUACAUAUUAACCCUUUGCACUCAACUCUCACCACUUUAUUUGAUAUAGCAAAAUUAUAAAAUUUUAUAUAUAAUAUUAAGCUUUAUAUAACACAUCGAACGUGAAAUAUUGAAAUAAAGUGGCCACUUAGUUCAAUACAUACAGAAUUAUGAAAUUUAAUAUUUAAUAUGAAGCUUUGUACAAAUGCGCCAAUAUGUGAAACAAAAAGAACUUUGCUGCUUAAUCUGUGUAUGAUUUCUCAUUAAGCUGAUUUCAAAAAAUAUCAUUUGUAUCAUUAGACAAUGUUCGACCGCAAAGGGUUAAUUUCUGUAUACUUUCUCAUUAGUUAGUUUCGAAGAAUAUUUCUAGUGGAAAACUUUCGAGAGCACAGGGGUAAUUACGUCAACUACUCCGUUGCUCUAGUGUUGACCCUUUGAGUUUCAGUCAUCACUUGAUUUGAUGUAGUAAAACUAUAAAAUUUAAUGUUUAGCAAAAUAUUUAGGGCAAAAUAGCCUUGUUCCUCAACGUACUUGUGAUUCCUCUUUGAGUUAAUGUACAAAAAUAUCGUCUUUGUCUAAUUAGAAGAUGUCAAGCAUUUCUAGCGAAACACUUCCGGACGCAAAGCGUUAAUAAUGCCUCGACAAAGGAGCACACUUUCGACCGAAUUUCAUGUCGAGUUAUAUUCAACACUGGAGUUCAAAGGGUUAAAGAAGUCGAACGGAAAUAUCCGUGUUCUCGAAUGGACGGCGUAUCGUCGCGUAAAGAUGGCUGUCAGCGGGGUACACGGUCCAAGUAA
Nomia melanderi (Alkali bee) is the source of this 4179-nucleotide long non-coding RNA. RefSeq lists it as uncharacterized. The record is from RefSeq and is a predicted model, not a curated record. NCBI's taxonomy places the organism in Eukaryota, Metazoa, Arthropoda, Insecta, Hymenoptera, Halictidae.